This 1348-nucleotide ribosomal RNA is filed under the name metagenome. RNAcentral's name for it is "bacterial LSU rRNA". It matches the Rfam family "Bacterial large subunit ribosomal RNA", at positions 1564 to 2925 of the family's 2925-position model. The record is from RNAcentral.
UGAGUACGAGCUGCUACGGCAGCGAAGUGGGUGAUGUCAAGCUUCCAAGAAAAGCCCUAUACCCGUUAAGGCAUGACGGCCUGUACCCGAAACCGACACAGGUGGGGUGGUAGAGAAUACCGAGGGGCGCGAGGUAACUCUCUCUAAGGAACUCGGCAAAAUGGCCCCGUAACUUCGGGAGAAGGGGUGCCACCGCAAGGUGGUCGCAGUGAAGAGGCCCAGGCGACUGUUUACCAAAAACACAGGUCUCCGCUAAGUCGCAAGACGAUGUAUGGGGGCUGACGCCUGCCCAGUGCCGGAAGGUUAAGGAAGCUGGUCAGCGAAAGCGAAGCUAGCGACUGAAGCCCCGGUGAACGGCGGCCGUAACUAUAACGGUCCUAAGGUAGCGAAAUUCCUUGUCGGGUAAGUUCCGACCCGCACGAAAGGCGUAACGAUCUGGGCGCUGUCUCGGAGAGAGGCUCGGCGAAAUAGAAUUGUCUGUGAAGAUGCGGACUACGUGCACCCGGACAGAAAGACCCUAUGAAGCUUUACUGUAGCUUGGUAUUGUGCCCGGGCUCUGAAUGCGCAGGAUAGGUGGGAGACAUUGAUGCAUGGCUUGCGGGUCAUGUGGAGUCAACGGUGAGAUACCACUCUUUCAGAGCUAGGGUUCUAACAGCCACCCGUUAUCCGGGGGCUGGACAGUAUCAGGUGGGCAGUUUGACUGGGGCGGUCGCCUCCUAAAAGGUAACGGAGGCGCGCAAAGGUUUGCUCAGGCUGGUUGGAAAUCAGCCGACGAGUGUAAAAGCAGAAGCAAGCUUGACUGUGAGACCUACAAGUCGAACAGGGACGAAAGUCGGCUUUAGUGAUCCGACGGUUCUGAGUGGAAGGGCCGUCGCUCAACGGAUAAAAGUUACUCUAGGAUAACAGGCUGAUCUCCCCCAAGAGUUCACAUCGACGGGGAGGUUUGGCACCUCGAUGUCGGCUCAUCGCAACCUGGGGCUGAAGUCGGUCCCAAGGGUUGGGCUGUUCGCCCAUUAAAGCGGUACGCGAGCUGGGUUCAGAACGUCGUGAGACAGUUCGGUCCAUAUCCGGUGCAUGCGUAAGAACGUUGAGAGGAGUUCUCCCUAGUACGAGAGGACCGGGAGGAACGCACCUCUGGUGUACCAGUUAUCGUGCCAACGGUAAACGCUGGGUAGCCAUGUGCGGAGAGGAUAACCGCUGAAAGCAUCUAAGUGGGAAGCCCACCUCAAGAUGAGUGUUCUCAUGGCUUAAGCCAGUAAGGUCACGGGAAGAACACCCGUUGAUAGGCUCUACGUGGAAGCUUGGUAACAGGUGAAGCGGAGGAGUACUAAUAGACCGAGGGCUUGAC